GCAAAUGCAAGGAACAGAACACGGUUUACUGAUUCCCCGCAUCACAGAGAGCCGUCGGUCGGUGCGAGACGGUAUGCGGUUUCAGGAACUAUCCUCUGCGAGCAGUGCACUGAACCAAGUAGGUGUCACCGGGAUUCCCCCGUUACAGGGAAGCUUAUUGCUGCAGGCUUACGCCCGCAAAGAUGAGAUUGAGAGGUCGUUUUUUACGACAAGCAAAGUGGUAACGCGGAAGCUUACGCCUUCGUCUUUGGC
RNAcentral lists this non-coding RNA (252 nucleotides) under Roseburia hominis. RNAcentral describes it as "T-box sequence". It matches the Rfam family "T-box leader". From Rfam's summary of the family: Uncharged tRNA acts as the effector for transcription antitermination of genes in the T-box leader family. T-boxes are found upstream of many aminoacyl-tRNA synthetase genes and some amino acid biosynthetic genes usually in Gram-positive bacteria. The anticodon of a specific tRNA base pairs to a specifier sequence within the T-box motif, and the NCCA acceptor tail of the tRNA base pairs to a conserved bulge in the T-box antiterminator hairpin. Lineage: Bacteria; Bacillati; Bacillota; Clostridia; Lachnospirales; Lachnospiraceae. The record is from RNAcentral.